Molecule: ribosomal RNA, 305 nt
Filed under: uncultured bacterium
Lineage: Bacteria
Description: bacterial SSU rRNA
Rfam family: Bacterial small subunit ribosomal RNA
Source: RNAcentral
GAGUGAACGCUGGCGGCGUGCCUAAUACAUGCAAGUCGAACGCGAGCACUUGUGCUCGAGUGGCGAACGGGUGAGUAAUACAUAAGUAACCUGCCCUAGACAGGGGGAUAACUAUUGGAAACGAUAGCUAAGACCGCAUAGGUACGGACACUGCAUGGUGACCGUAUUAAAAGUGCCUCAAAGCACUGGUAGAGGAUGGACUUAUGGCGCAUUAGCUGGUUGGCGGGGUAACGGCCCACCAAGGCGACGAUGCGUAGCCGACCUGAGAGACUGAUCGGCCACAAUGGAACUGAGACACGGUCCAU